This 125-nucleotide small RNA is filed under the name Marmota monax (woodchuck). Lineage: Eukaryota; Metazoa; Chordata; Mammalia; Rodentia; Sciuridae. The record is from RNAcentral.
GCUGGGGGCGAUGGCACACACCUGUCAUCCCAGCAGCUUGGGAGGCUGAGGCAGGAGGAUCAUGAGUUCAAGGCCAGCCUCAGCCACAGCGAGGCCCUAAGCAUCUCAGUGAGACCCUGUCUCUA